UGUAAGGUCCACAUUGCACA
RNAcentral lists this non-coding RNA (20 nucleotides) under Arabidopsis thaliana (thale cress). The record is from RNAcentral. Lineage: Eukaryota; Viridiplantae; Streptophyta; Magnoliopsida; Brassicales; Brassicaceae.